Homo sapiens (human) is the source of this 1738-nucleotide long non-coding RNA. RefSeq lists it as uncharacterized. The transcript is spliced from 3 exons. Lineage: Eukaryota; Metazoa; Chordata; Mammalia; Primates; Hominidae. The record is from RefSeq and is a predicted model, not a curated record.
CUGGCUCUCGGUGAGGAAGAUAGAGCAGGGCGCCCGAGGGGCACACGUUGGACGGCAAGGGCGUGUGGCUGUCCCAACCCUGGGAGCAGGGCUGCUCCUCAAGGCAGCAUGGCCUCACCUGCCCUUGCUGACAGGCCGGCUGACCCCUCUGACGCCUUCCAGCAGCGUUUCCAGUGCUUUUCUUUCUUCCCAGGAAGAUACUGGGCCAGCGCCAUCAGGGGUGGCUCAUCGGUCGUCGUGGUGGUCUCACGUGUCUCCUGUGCUUUUUGACGCCAGCUGGGACUUCCCGGUCACGGGUGGAAGCAACGGUUUCUCAGGAUUUCGCUACAAGGAUCGUCUCAGCCUUCUUGGACUGCCGUGCGGAACACCACACACCCAGCAGCUAAAAUAAUGACAUUGAGAUCCGGGUGCCAGCAGGACAAGCUCCAUGAGGGCCCCCCUCUGGGUUGCAGGCAGCUGCCUUCCCAGGGCGUCCUCCCCCGGCAGGUGGGCAUGGCAGGGCAGGGGGAGCUGGCACGCUCGGCUCUGUUGUCUCUUUUUUCUCACAGUGCGUGACUGUUUACCACCAUGGUCACCUGGAGCCUCUUAUUACAAGGGCGUGAAUUCCCUUCUCGUAAGGCCCCUCACGGCCUCAUCAAAACCUCAGUCACCUCCCAGAACCCCACUCCAGUCCCGUCACGCUGAGGCUCAGGGCCUGAACCCAUGAAUGCGAGGACACGAUCAGUCCACAGCAAGGCUGUGUCCCUGAGGAGCAGGGGCGGACCCUGGCCACACUCUGGCCAGGCAGCGGCCGGGAGAGGGGGCCCAUGCGGAAGGAACAGCCAGGCAGAGGCCGGGAGAGGGCGCCCAUGUGGAAGGAACGGACAGGCGCACUCAGAAGCGGUGGCGUCUGACGCCCUUUCACGAUGUUGUUUCGUUUUGUAAUUUUCUUAGACUUCCAAAUUCAUAGUGAAGUUGACCCAACAUGACAACAAACAGGAUUCGAGGGGUUUGGACAGAUGGGGGGAUCAUCGGUAUCCUGGGGCCGGCAGCCUCACACUGAUAGAUGGUUCUGGAACUGCCCACCGGCAGCCCCUCUGCCAUGGGUGGGUGCAGCGGGGGCUUCCCGGUUCAGUGGCUCCCCUGGCCGCGUAGACCCAGAGGUGCUUCCCUCUAGCGCACAGUGCUGCUGGCCCCGCUGUGGGCCCCCGGCCUCAACCCAGAGAGCUUCUCCAAAUCAGUGGCUGUGGCCCCACCGUCUCCCGAGCGCCAGGCAGGGAACCCCUUCUGCAUCCACCCUGGGGGCUGCCUGCUGGGCUCACUUUGCUCCUCCUGGAACCAGCGCACAACCCCUCACCGUAGACGCCCCUGUCCCCAUGUUGGUGUGGCGUCUGCCGCCAACUGACUCUGACAAACACACGGUUGAUGUUUCUGUGAAGUUUGGGAAAAUAAGAUCUUUUCACUGUACUGGGUCAAGACCUGUCCCUACUCGGCACGGCCCCCGUGUGCUUCCGGUAUCUCUGCGGGAGGAGGAGCGCCAAGCAGCCGGGAGCUACCUGUGGGGAAGGGAUGGCCCCCGUGCUGGGCUCACCCAUCUGACAUCAACAUGAAGGUAGGAGCCUGAUGGUGUCUCCGACGUGUCCUGCUGGCAUUGGGCAAUCCUGUUUGAAGAUUCCGGAUCUAGACACUGGGGUGUGGGACGGCUUCAGACAGGUAGAGGUAUGCGUGGAAAAUUCAGUUCUCAGCAGCUUCUAAUCAG